CUUUGGCAAGAAUUAAUUUUGCAGCCACUGUUCAUCACAUUUUUUGUGCAAAUGCAAGGGGAAGAAACUAUGACCCUAUUGAUUUUGGGGAGUUCAAUACAAAUGAGACUUGGAUUUUAGAAGAAGAACCUCCAACUUUGACUGUAGCUGAAUUGGAAACUUUUAGGAAUGAAUUGACAGCAUGUGAUAUCCAAAGCAACUCACAAAAUGACAGUGCUGAUGAAGAUGAUACCAACAAUGAAAACAAUGCUGAAGGAAAUGAACCUAAUUAAAACUGCAUGGAUGAUCCAACUCAAGGUGGUUAUGAAUUUGGUAGUAGUUGGGAACCGUGGAAAUGAUAAGUUUAGAAGAUAGUUGUCAUUGAUUCAAUUUGUUAUCCUUGUUUUUUUUCAUUUAAUGAUUGGAAGCUUGAAAGUUACAAGUUUGAAACACUUGUUUU
Coffea arabica (coffee) is the source of this 439-nucleotide long non-coding RNA. RefSeq lists it as uncharacterized. NCBI's taxonomy places the organism in Eukaryota, Viridiplantae, Streptophyta, Magnoliopsida, Gentianales, Rubiaceae. The record is from RefSeq and is a predicted model, not a curated record.